This is a non-coding RNA of Cricetulus griseus (Chinese hamster), 71 nucleotides long. Lineage: Eukaryota; Metazoa; Chordata; Mammalia; Rodentia; Cricetidae. The record is from Rfam.
UCCUUGUUAGUAUAGUGGUGAGUAUCCCACCUGUCACGUGGGAGUCCGGGGUUUGAUUCCCUGACGGGGAG